RNAcentral lists this ribosomal RNA (405 nucleotides) under uncultured bacterium. RNAcentral describes it as "partial 16S ribosomal RNA". It matches the Rfam family "Bacterial small subunit ribosomal RNA", at positions 29 to 526 of the family's 1533-position model. The record is from RNAcentral.
AUUGAACGCUGGCGGCGUGCCUUACACAUGCAAGUCGAACGAGUGGCGAACGGGUGAGUAAUGUAUCGGAAGGUACCCAGUAGCGGGGUAUAACUACGCGAAACAUAGCUAAUACCGCAUACGAUUGGAGCGGCCGAGGGUGUAUUAGCUCGUUGGGGGGGUAACGGCUCACCAAGGCGACGAUCCGUAGCUGGUGUGAGAGGACGACCAGCCACACUGGGACUGAGACACGGCCCAGACUCCGACGGGAGGCAGCAGUAGGGAAUGUUGGGCAAUGGGGGAAACCCUGACCGAGCCAUGCCGCGUGUGGGAUGAAGGCCUUCGGGGCGUAAAGCACUUUUGUCAGGAAAGCGGUACCUGAAGAAUAAGCACCGGCUAACUACGUGCCAGCAGCCGCGGUAAUAC